UUACCGCGGCUGCUGGCACGUAGUUAGCCGUGGCUUAUUCCUACGGUACCGUCAAUGUCCUCCGCAGAGGCCUUUUCUUCCCGUAUAAAAGCAGUUUACAACCCAGAGGGCCGUCUUCCUGCACGCGGCAUGGCUGGUUCAGGCUCUCGCCCAUUGACCAAUAUUCCCUACUGCUGCCUCCCGUAGGAGUCUGGUCCGUAUCUCAGUACCAGUGUGGGGGUUACUCCUCUCAGAGCCCCUAAGGAUCGUCGCCUUGGUGAGCCGUUACCUCACCAACUAGCUAAUCCUACGCAUGCCUAUCCCUAUCCAAUAAAUCUUUCAAUAUCCGACCAUGCAGCCAAAUAUAUUAUGCGGUAUUAAUCCAAAUUUCUCUGGGCUAUCCCCCUGAUAAAGGUAAGUUGCAUACGCGUUACGCACCCGUUCGCCGGUCUCGGAAAGUACAAGUACUCUCCUACCCCUCGACUUGCAUGUAUUAAGCCUGCCGCUAGCGUUCAUCCUGAGCCAUGAUCAAACUC
This 515-nucleotide ribosomal RNA is filed under the name uncultured Bacteroidota bacterium. Its description in RNAcentral is "uncultured Bacteroidetes bacterium partial 16S ribosomal RNA". Lineage: Bacteria; Pseudomonadati; Bacteroidota. The record is from RNAcentral.